This 336-nucleotide ribosomal RNA is filed under the name uncultured bacterium. RNAcentral describes it as "bacterial SSU rRNA". It matches the Rfam family "Bacterial small subunit ribosomal RNA", at positions 1 to 353 of the family's 1533-position model. The record is from RNAcentral.
UAGAGUUUGAUCAUGGCUCAGGAUGAACGCUAGCGGCAGGCUUAAUACAUGCAAGGCGAAGGGGCAGCAAUGUCACUGUCGUACGGGUGCGUAACGCGUAUGCAACCUACCUAUCACUGGGGGAUAGCCCGGGGAAACCCGGAUUAAUACCGCAUAACACAGGGGUCCCGCAUGGGUACUAUUUGUUAAAGAUUUAUCGGUGGUAGAUGGGCAUGCGUUCGAUUAGCUAGUUGGUAUGGGUAACGGCCUACCAAGGCGACGAUCGAUAGGGGAGCUGAGAGGUUGAUCCCCCACACGGGCACUGAGAUACGGGCCCGACUCCUACGGGAGGCAGCA